This 529-nucleotide ribosomal RNA is filed under the name uncultured bacterium. RNAcentral's name for it is "bacterial SSU rRNA". It matches the Rfam family "Bacterial small subunit ribosomal RNA", at positions 980 to 1509 of the family's 1533-position model. The record is from RNAcentral.
CGUUGACAUAUGCCGGAUCGGCGCAGAGAUGCGUUUUCCCUUGUGGUCGGUAUACAGGUGGUGCAUGGUUGUCGUCAGCUCGUGUCGUGAGAUGUUGGGUUAAGUCCCGCAACGAGCGCAACCCUUGUCUUGUGUUGCCAGCACGUUAUGGUGGGGACUCGCGAGAGACUGCCGGGGUUAACUCGGAGGAAGGUGGGGAUGACGUCAAAUCAUCAUGCCCCUUAUGUCCAGGGCUUCACACAUGCUACAAUGGUCGGUACAGUGGGUUGCUACACCGUGAGGUGACGCUAAUCCCUUAAAGCCGGUCUCAGUUCGGAUUGGAGUCUGCAACUCGACUCCAUGAAGUCGGAGUCGCUAGUAAUCGCAGAUCAGCAACGCUGCGGUGAAUACGUUCCCGGGCCUUGUACACACCGCCCGUCACGUCAUGAAAGUUGGUAACACCCGAAGCCAGUGGCCCAAACUCGUUAGGGAGCUGUCGAAGGUGGGAUCGGCGAUUGGGACGAAGUCGUAACAAGGUAGGCGUAGCGAG